Cucumis melo (muskmelon) is the source of this 1261-nucleotide long non-coding RNA. RefSeq lists it as uncharacterized. The transcript has 2 exons. Lineage: Eukaryota; Viridiplantae; Streptophyta; Magnoliopsida; Cucurbitales; Cucurbitaceae. The record is from RefSeq and is a predicted model, not a curated record.
AAAGUAUAUCAGCAUGUCGGAAAAUUUACAUGUUUACAGGAACAUCAUUAGGGCAACAAAUUCUUCAGCUGCGAACAAAGAGCUUUGCGGAAGAACAUUUAGCUGCACAGCUAAACCAACAAGACAGUAGUCCUCCAACACCAACAGCAGGUUGUGCAAAUUAUCAUGGAGUUGGAAGAAGGGUCGAAUUCUUACUCUGCAAAAGAGAUGAGGCCAUCAUUGUUGGUGUCGAAAAGCAUGAAAAACUUGGAAGGAGCACAACAUAGUUCUCCAGAAAUUCUUCUUUCUCCUCUUAGAAAGCCUUCUCUAACACGAUUGGACUCAGAUGGAGGAAAUACAGGAACAAUGGCCCUCAUCAGAUCUGAUGGUCUCAUAUAUAUUUCCCCUUCAGGUGUGUGAAUAGAGGCAAAAUAUUCAAACACCUUCUCAGGAGGACUUUGGAUUCUUAUACGUUUUUCAUAGUUGAAAAACACCCUUCUCCUAUAAUCAUCUGGCAUCCAGCAUAAAGUGUGAAUAAAUUGGUAACUUUACCCUAAACACAUUUAACUUAGAUUGCUUCAAGUUUAAUGGCAAAAAGGGGACAUUCUUACCUCCAAAUAGAAAUUUGGAUUUCUUCUUUGCAUUUAUAUUUUGAUUUGGUGAUGGGUAUUGGAAUUGAUCUUCUUUCACUGUUGUCCAUGUUGUUUCUUUAGGGAAUUCAGCAAACGAUAAAUGCGAAUUGGACGUGGAAGAAUUGGAGCUGAGAAGUGAUCCCACUCCGCCAAUCAAUAUCCCUGAAGAAAUCAAUUUGAUCAAGAACUCAAAUACAAAGUUUCUUCUAUUCUCGCCUCCGCAGCCAGUUUGUUGAGUUGUGAUCGACGAAGAAGAAGACAAUGGGGAUGUUGAUGGCGAUCCUAAAGAGCCACCAAGUUGAUUGUUGAGAAAACGAACAGUAAGGUGUUGAGAAGGUAUAACUCUACAGAUCGACUUAGAAGAUUUUGAAACCAAAAACGUCGAAGAAAACAUACUAUGCUUUAGAUCUACCUUGAGGUUCUUCCAAAUAUCAUCAAGAAAAAGGUAAUGGAAGGAGAAAAUUUGCAAAAUGAGAGACAGAGAACAACAAAAGGAGAGAUUAAUAGCUUUAGCAAAGUUGGAUACUAAAAUUGGGGCUUUGACUUCGCCAUUUGUUGAUAACGGUUUUUUUAAAAGUUAGUUGGCUUUUGUGUUUGAAUGAAUUAAUUUUUAGUAAAUUGGUUAAAUAUUCUUUGUUUAUUUAUUAAUA